UAACGCGUAUGCAACCUACCUUUAUCAGGGGGAUAGCCCGGAGAAAUCCGGAUUAAUACCGCAUAACAUCAUGUUAUAGCAUUAUAGUAUGAUCAAACAUUUAUGGGAUAAAGAUGGGCAUGCGUGUCAUUAGCUAGUUGGCGGGGUAACGGCCCACCAAGGCGACGAUGACUAGGGGAUCUGAGAGGAUGGCCCCCCACACUGGUACUGAGACACGGACCAGACUCCUACGGGAGGCAGCAGUAAGGAAUAUUGGUCAAUGGAGGCAACUCUGAACCAGCCAUGCCGCGUGCAGGAAGACUGCCCUAUGGGUUGUAAACUGCUUUUAUCCGGGAAUAAACCUACUUACGUGUAAGUAGCUGAAUGUACCGGAAGAAUAAGGAUCGGCUAACUCCGUGCCAGCAGCCGCGGUAAUACGGAGGAUCCAAGCGUUAUCCGGAUUUAUUGGGUUUAAAGGGUGCGUAGGCGGCCUGUUAAGUCAGGGGUGAAAGACGGUAGCUCAACUAUCGCAGUGCCCUUGAUACUGAUGGGCUUGAAUGGACUAGAGGUAGGCGGAAUGAGACAAGUAGCGGUGAAAUGCAUAGAUAUGUCUCAGAACACCGAUUGCGAAGGCAGCUUACUAUGGUCCUAUUGACGCUG
Molecule: ribosomal RNA, 639 nt
Filed under: Pedobacter sp. VPMK30
Lineage: Bacteria; Pseudomonadati; Bacteroidota; Sphingobacteriia; Sphingobacteriales; Sphingobacteriaceae
Description: bacterial SSU rRNA
Rfam family: Bacterial small subunit ribosomal RNA
Source: RNAcentral